RNAcentral lists this ribosomal RNA (426 nucleotides) under uncultured Paraglomeraceae. RNAcentral describes it as "bacterial SSU rRNA". It matches the Rfam family "Eukaryotic small subunit ribosomal RNA", at positions 459 to 886 of the family's 1831-position model. Lineage: Eukaryota; Fungi; Glomeromycota; Glomeromycetes; Paraglomerales. The record is from RNAcentral.
GGGAGGUAGUGACAAUAAAUAACAAUACGGGGCCUUUCAGGUCUCGUAAUUGGAAUGAGUACAAUCUAAACCCCUUAACGAGGAACAAUUGGAGGGCAAGUCUGGUGCCAGCAGCCGCGGUAAUUCCAGCUCCAAUAGCGUAUAUUAAAGUUGUUGCAGUUAAAAAGCUCGUAGUUGAACCUUAGGCCCGUGCGGGCGGUCCGUCCUCUGGGCGAGCACUGCUCCGUCGCGGGUCUCACCUUCUGGCGAGCGUGGAUGCCAUUUAUUUGGUGUCCGCGGGAACCAGGACCUUUACCUUGAAAAAAUUAGAGUGCUCAAAGCGGGCUCCGACGCUUGAAUACAUUAGCAUGGAAUAAUGAAAUAGGACGUUCGAACCUAUUUUGUUGGUUUCUAGGAUCAACGUAAUGAUUAAUAGGGAUAGUUGGG